Molecule: transfer RNA, 91 nt
Filed under: Paenibacillus pinisoli
Lineage: Bacteria; Bacillati; Bacillota; Bacilli; Caryophanales; Paenibacillaceae
Also listed under: 8 other names
Description: tRNA-Ser
Rfam family: tRNA
About the family: Transfer RNA (tRNA) molecules are approximately 80 nucleotides in length.
Source: RNAcentral
AGAGAGGUGUCCGAGUGGUCGAAGGAGCACGAUUGGAAAUCGUGUAUACGUUAAUCGCGUAUCGAGGGUUCGAAUCCCUUCCUCUCUGCCA